GGCCGGUUAGCUCAGUCGGUUAGAGUGUGGUGCUGAUAACACCAAGGUCGCAGGUUCGAUCUUGUGUUGCCUG
RNAcentral lists this transfer RNA (73 nucleotides) under Apaloderma vittatum (bar-tailed trogon). It matches the Rfam family "tRNA". From Rfam's summary of the family: Transfer RNA (tRNA) molecules are approximately 80 nucleotides in length. Their secondary structure includes four short double-helical elements and three loops (D, anti-codon, and T loops). The record is from Rfam by way of RNAcentral. Lineage: Eukaryota; Metazoa; Chordata; Aves; Trogoniformes; Trogonidae.